RNAcentral lists this long non-coding RNA (1492 nucleotides) under Homo sapiens (human). RNAcentral's name for it is "non-protein coding lnc-POTEG-26:2". Lineage: Eukaryota; Metazoa; Chordata; Mammalia; Primates; Hominidae. The record is from RNAcentral.
CUUACUUUUAGUUUUUUAUCUAUGGUAGAACCACCCAGAGCAGGGGUCCUCAACUCCCAGGCCACAGACUCAUACCAGUCCACGGACUAUUAUGAACCACACCACACAGGAGGAGGUGAGCACUAGGCAAGCCAAGGAAGCUUCACCUGUACUUACAGCCACACGCCAUGGCUCAUAUUACAGCCUGAACUCUGCCUCCACUCAGAUCAGUGAUAACAUUAGAAACUCAUUGGAGCACGAACCCUGUUGUGAACUGCCUAUCCGAAGGAUCUAGGUUGUGUGCUUCGUAUGAGAAUCUAAUGCCAGAUGAUCUAUCAUUGUCUCACUUUGCCCCCAGAUAAGACCAUCUAGUUGCAGAAAAAUAAGCUCAGAGCUUCCACUGAUUCUACAUUAUGGAUAUGUGCCGCCGAAGCAAGCACAAAGCCCUACUUUUACACAUGCCUAGUGAUGCUUCAUGGACAAGGCUUGGCUCUGUUGAGUCCAACUAACCUACCUGAGAUUCUGAGAUUUCUCUUCAAUGGCUUCCUGUGAGCUAGAGUUUGAAAAUAUCUUAAAAUCUUGAGCUAGAGAUGGAAGUAGCUUGGACGAUUUUCAUUAUCAUGUAAAUCGGGUCACUCAAGGGGCCAACCACAGCUGGGAGCCACUGCUCAGGGGAAGGUUCAUAUGGGACUUUCUACUGCCCAAGGUUCUAUACAGGAUAUAAAGGUGCCUCACAGUAUAGAUCUGGUAGCAAAGAAGAAGAAACAAACACUGAUCUCUUUCUGCCACCCCUCUGACCCUUUGGAACUCCUCUGACCCUUUAGAACAAGCCUACCUAAUAUCUGCUAGAGAAAAGACCAACAACGGCCUCAAAGGAUCUCUUACCAUGAAGGUCUCAGCUAAUUCUUGGCUAAGAUGUGGGUUCCACAUUAGGUUCUGAAUAUGGGGGGAAGGGUCAAUUUGCUCAUUUUGUGUGUGGAUAAAGUCAGGAUGCCCAGGGGCCAGAGCAGGGGGCUGCUGCUUUGGGAACAAUGGCUGAGCAUAUAACCAUAGGUAUGGGAACAAAAAACAUCAAAGUCACUGUAUCAAUUGCCAUGAAGACUCGAGGGACCUGAAUCUACCGAUUCAUCUUAAGGCAGCAGGACCAGUUUGAGUGGCAACAAUGCAGCAGCAGAAUCAAUGGAAACAACAGAAUGAUUGCAAUGUCCUUUUUUUUCUCCUCCUUCUGACUUGAUAAAAGGGACCGUCUUCCUUGGAUUUAGUGAACCCCUUUGGUUCCUGAAAAAUUCAAGGAGUAUCUAGGACAUAGUCCCCAGAAGACAGUACAAGACUUUCUGAUAAACUGGACAUUUCAAGACCCAAAUAACUAAUCAGAAAAAUCAAAGAUGUGAUACUAUUUUUUAUCCCAUGCAUAGGUGCUACACUUGGAUCAAAUGAACAAUGUUGGGAUCUCUAUGGAUAAAGGUCUUAAAAGUCCUGAGAUAAAGAAUCCUGCACCCACUGGUACUUCUAA